AUGCAUGUCUAAGUACAAGCCGAUUUAAGGCGAAACCGCGAAUGGCUCAUUAAAUCAGCUAUGAUUCAUUGGAUCUGUACCCACACUUACUUGGAUAACUGUGGUAAUUCUAGAGCUAAUACAUGCACCACGUCUCUGACCGCAAGGGAAGAGCGCUUUUAUUAGUUCAAAACCGGUCGGGCCUCGGUCCGUCACCCCACCGUGUUGAAUCUGAAUAACUUGUCGCUGAGCGCACGGUCUCCGCACCGGCGCCGCCUCUUUCAAGUGUCUGCCUUAUCAGCUUUCGAUUGUAGGUUAUGCGCCUACAAUGGCUAUAACGGGUAACGGGGAAUCAGGGUUCGAUUCCGGAGAGGGAGCCUGAGAAACGGCUACCACAUCUAAGGAAGGCAGCAGGCACGCAAAUUACCCACUCCCGGCACGGGGAGGUAGUGACGAAAAAUAACGAUGCGAGACUCAUCCGAGGCCUCGCAAUCGGAAUGAGUACACUUUAAAUCCUUUAACGAGGAUCUAUUGGAGGGCAAGUCUGGUGCCAGCAGCCGCGGUAAUUCCAGCUCCAAUAGCGUAUUUNAAAAGUUGUUGCGGUUAAAAAGCUCCGUAGUUGGAUUUCAGUUCUGGACUGAUGGUUCACCGCCCGGUGCACACCGUCACGCUCCGAACAGCCACAACAGCCCGCUGGCUCGCACGGGGUGCUCUUCAUCGAGUGUCCCGCGUGGCCGG
RNAcentral lists this ribosomal RNA (717 nucleotides) under Liocarcinus marmoreus. Its description in RNAcentral is "SSU rRNA". It matches the Rfam family "Eukaryotic small subunit ribosomal RNA", at positions 51 to 746 of the family's 1831-position model. The record is from RNAcentral. Lineage: Eukaryota; Metazoa; Arthropoda; Malacostraca; Decapoda; Polybiidae.